GCCUGGCAUGGUGGCGCAUGCCUGUAAUCCCCAUGGCUUGGGAGGCUGAGACAGUAGUAUCGGAGUUCAAAGCCAGCCUCAGUAAAAGUGAGGCGCUAAGCAAUUUGGUGAGACCCUGUCUCUA
This 124-nucleotide small RNA is filed under the name Marmota monax (woodchuck). The record is from RNAcentral. Lineage: Eukaryota; Metazoa; Chordata; Mammalia; Rodentia; Sciuridae.